GUUUCGAGCACUACAAACAAUUGACCUGGUCUUUCCUGGUGCCAUAGGUACAUUAAAGGAACAAAUCCAUAUCACCCACUUCUGAUCACCCACGAUUGGAAGCUUUGUGUCGAUCUCUAUUUUAUUCAUUGAGUAACAAGGUGCGACAAAUUUUGCAGUAAUUUUUGGUUUAUCAUUGUUCGCACCAGCAAAACCCCAAGGUCCAGAUGCCUCCAUCUUGAAUGGCAAGGGCUUUGCUCUGUCUCGCCUUCCAGUAACCUUGUGGUGUGCAAAAUCAAUGUGAGAAGGAUCAGAGACGUUCUCCAUGAGAGUGUCAUAGCCAUAAAACAAAUCACGCUGAAUUGUCACAGUUGCAAACUCAGGCUUAUCAAAAUCUUCAGGCAACAUGGGCGGCUUUGUUGCCUGAGCUCUCUCCCAUCCAUUUUCAUCAGGCCAAACAAAGAGUAAUCCUUGAGAAACCAUAGUAGGAAAUCUAGUAGCACAAGCUCUUGGAGACUGAAAAGCUUUAGCUUCAGGUCCUUGAGAUGCAGCUUGAGGUAUCCUUGUACAAGAACCACAUCCAUUAAAUGACCAUCCAUGAUAUGAACACUGCAAAUCACCAUUUUCAUCUAAUCUCCCUUCAGAUAAAGGAGCAAGACGAUGAGGGCAUUUGUCAUCCAAAGCAACCCACUGAGAUCCAGAUUUAUCAAACCAGAUAACUAUAUCACGAUUCAGUAGCUGAAACGGUGUGGGUAAACUCGGGUCGAGAUCUUCCACUAAUGAAACUGGGUACCAAUGAUCUCUCCAAGAGAAUUUCGACGACGAAUCUUGUUCAUCAUUUUCUGUAUCUUCAAUAUCACUAGAUUUUGAAUCUAGCUUCUCUUCUUCUUCAGUAGCUGUUGUUGUUGUUGGAGGUGCAGCUACUCUAAGAGGAGAUGAAAUUAGCGUAUUUUUUUUCCUUGUAAUUUGAAGAAAAUUAUGAGGUUUGAAAGGUAGUGAAGACUGUAAGGAAGAUGAAAUUGAAAGAAUUUGAGGAGUUGGUAGUAACAGAGAAGAAACCAUUAUUGAGUUAAUCAAUGUUUUGU
Molecule: unclassified non-coding RNA, 1064 nt
Filed under: Hevea brasiliensis (rubber tree)
Lineage: Eukaryota; Viridiplantae; Streptophyta; Magnoliopsida; Malpighiales; Euphorbiaceae
Source: RNAcentral